AAUAGAUGACGCCAUUGACUUUUUCUCACAUGUUUGACCAUUCGUCUUAUUUAAAAAAUUUACGUAAUUAUAAUUUAUUUUGUUAUGAGUUGUUUUAUCACUCAUAAUACUUUGUGUGAUUUAUAUCUUAUACAUUUGCUUAAAAUUUUUGAAUAAGACGAAUGGUCAAACCUGUGAGAAAAAGUCGACGAUGUCAUCUAUU
Molecule: microRNA precursor, 202 nt
Filed under: Oryza sativa Indica Group (long-grained rice)
Lineage: Eukaryota; Viridiplantae; Streptophyta; Magnoliopsida; Poales; Poaceae
Description: MIR812 microRNA precursor family
Rfam family: MIR812 microRNA precursor family
Source: Rfam by way of RNAcentral